UUGCCACCUGUUAUGACUUCAUCUCUCAAGUGUAAAGCAUGCUAGCCCCGUGCCACUUGGCUGUGCAGAGCGCAUCUUCAGAGGACGACGGAGGGAAGGAAAGGGGAGAGGAAAGGAGGGAAAGCAGACAGGCAGCCCAGGCCGGCCAGGCGGGACGUGCUGGCUAGGCCAGUCCAGAGGAGGAAGCUUGGGGGCCGGAGAUGAGAGGGUGGGGAGUAAGGGUGGACCCCGACGUGCCUUCCCUGCAUUAUCAGGAGCAGGCCUCAGCUGGAGGCCACUGCCACGGCCUGCUACCUCUGCCUAGCCUUUAAUGAGGGCUGCGGGAGGAGGGAGAGGCGGGCUGGGGAGAGAGGGCGCCUGCGAGGAGCUCCGGCAGGCCCAGCAUGAAGCAGAGCCAGGAGAGGGUUAAAAGUGGCGUGAUAGAGACUGUGGGGAAGGCUGGACCAGAGGGCAAAGGGAGCAUCAAAGCCGGGAUAAAUGGCCUUAAUUCUCAUGCUCCCGCUCGCCGGUCGUGUUUACUCAUAUAAAUUAUCCCCCAGGCCUGACACCUUUUUUCACUGCUUCCCUAGAACUGAUGAAAAAAUAAAUCCCACAGAUCCCAGGAAUAAAAAGUGUGGGGCUUUCAUUCAGGCUGGUUCUCCUUGGCCACCUAAUAGCAACUCAGGUCCCGCCCCAGGGCUCCAGGAGGAAGACAAAGGAAGGCUUCAUCCCCAAUGUGGAGGGGCAGGGGGCCUGGAAGCCUGGCGGGGAAGCAGACAGUAGGGCCCGCUCCCCACAGGACCCUCCAAGCGUCAGAGCCCUCGACGGCAGAGAACUCGCUCUCCCCACAGGCCAUCUUGCCACCAGCUCUGAGGACCCUGUGAGUAUAUGGGAAAGUAAAGGGGACUACGCUGGAGUGGAUGCGGAAGGCGCUGAGGCCAGGGCUGCUGUCAUGAGUCCUCACAUUUAUGGAUGGGGCUGAUAAACUGUCACACCCCGCACCGUCGAGGACAAGAAAGGCCACGUGAGGACACAAUGAGAAAGCAGCUAUCUGCAAUCCAAGGAGAGAGCCCUCACCACACUCUGACCCUACCAGAACCUUGAUCUUGGACUUCCAGUCUCCAGAAUUGUGAGAAAUAAAUUCCUGUUGUUUAAGCCA
Long non-coding RNA from Gorilla gorilla gorilla (western lowland gorilla), 1138 nucleotides. RefSeq lists it as uncharacterized. The record is from RefSeq and is a predicted model, not a curated record. NCBI's taxonomy places the organism in Eukaryota, Metazoa, Chordata, Mammalia, Primates, Hominidae. The transcript is spliced from 2 exons.